This 1041-nucleotide ribosomal RNA is filed under the name unidentified archaeon. RNAcentral's name for it is "bacterial SSU rRNA". It matches the Rfam family "Archaeal small subunit ribosomal RNA", at positions 1 to 1051 of the family's 1478-position model. The record is from RNAcentral.
UCCGGUUGAUCCUGCCAGAGGUCACUGCUAUCGGGGUUCGAUUAAGCCAUGCGAGUCGAGAGGGUUCGGCCCUCGGCGCACUGCUCAGUAACACGUGGACAACCUGCCCUGAGGUGGGGGAUAACUCCGGAAAACUGGAGAUAAUACCCCAUAGUCUAUGAAUGCUGGAAUGCUUUGUAGGCGAAAGGUCAGCCGCCUCAGGAUGGGUCUGCGGCCGAUUAGGUAGUUGUUGGGGUAACGGCCCAACAAGCCUGUGAUCGGUACGGGUUGUGGGAGCAAGAGCCCGGAGAUGGAUUCUGAGACACGAAUCCAGGCCCUACGGGGCGCAGCAGGCGCGAAAACUUUACAAUGCAGGAAACUGUGAUAAGGGAACCCCGAGUGCCUGUAUGGACAGGCUGUUCGGGUGCGUAAAAAACACCUGGAGAAAGGACCGGGCAAGACCGGUGCCAGCCGCCGCGGUAAUACCGGCGGUUCGAGUGGUGGCCACUAUUACUGGGCUUAAAGCGUCCCGUAGCUGGGCAGUUAAGUCUCUGGGGAAAUCUUCCGGCUCAACCGGAAGGCGUCUCAGGGAUACUGGCUGCCUUGGGAUCGGGAGAGGUGAGAGGUACUCUGGGGGUAGGAGUGAAAUCCUGUUAUCCUUAGGGGACCACCUGUGGCGAAGGCGUCUCACCAGAACGACUCCGACAGUGAGGGACGAAAGCUGGGGGAGCAAACCGGAUUAGAUACCCGGGUAGUCCCAGCCGUAAACUAUGCGCGUUAGGUGUGUCAGUGACCACGAGUUACUGAGGUGCCGAAGGGAAACCGUGAAACGCGCCGCCUGGGAAGUACGGUCGCAAGGCUGAAACUUAAAGGAAUUGGCGGGGGAGCACCACAACGGGUGGAGCCUGCGGUUUAAUUGGACUCAACGCCGGGCAGCUCACCGGGUAGGACAGCGAUAUGAUAGCCGGGCUGAAGACCUUGCUUGAUCAGCUGAGAGGAGGUGCAUGGCCGUCGUCAGUUCGUACUGUGAAGCAUCCUGUUAAGUCAGGUAACGAGCGAGAC